RNAcentral lists this ribosomal RNA (2531 nucleotides) under Shigella sonnei. RNAcentral's name for it is "partial 23S ribosomal RNA". It matches the Rfam family "Bacterial large subunit ribosomal RNA", at positions 404 to 2915 of the family's 2925-position model. Lineage: Bacteria; Pseudomonadati; Pseudomonadota; Gammaproteobacteria; Enterobacterales; Enterobacteriaceae. The record is from RNAcentral.
CUCGAUGAGUAGGGCGGGACACGUGGUAUCCUGUCUGAAUAUGGGGGGCCCAUCCUCCAAGGCUAAAUACUCCUGACUGACCGAUAGUGAACCAGUACCGUGAGGGAAAGGCGAAAAGAACCCCGGCGAGGGGAGUGAAAAAGAACCUGAAACCGUGUACGUACAAGCAGUGGGAGCACGCUUAGGCGUGUGACUGCGUACCUUUUGUAUAAUGGGUCAGCGACUUAUAUUCUGUAGCAAGGUUAACCGAAUAGGGGAGCCGAAGGGAAACCGAGUCUUAACUGGGCGUUAAGUUGCAGGGUAUAGACCCGAAACCCGGUGAUCUAGCCAUGGGCAGGUUGAAGGUUGGGUAACACUAACUGGAGGACCGAACCGACUAAUGUUGAAAAAUUAGCGGAUGACUUGUGGCUGGGGGUGAAAGGCCAAUCAAACCGGGAGAUAGCUGGUUCUCCCCGAAAGCUAUUUAGGUAGCGCCUCGUGAAUUCAUCUCCGGGGGUAGAGCACUGUUUCGGCAAGGGGGUCAUCCCGACUUACCAACCCGAUGCAAACUGCGAAUACCGGAGAAUGUUAUCACGGGAGACACACGGCGGGUGCUAACGUCCGUCGUGAAGAGGGAAACAACCCAGACCGCCAGCUAAGGUCCCAAAGUCAUGGUUAAGUGGGAAACGAUGUGGGAAGGCCCAGACAGCCAGGAUGUUGGCUUAGAAGCAGCCAUCAUUUAAAGAAAGCGUAAUAGCUCACUGGUCGAGUCGGCCUGCGCGGAAGAUGUAACGGGGCUAAACCAUGCACCGAAGCUGCGGCAGCGACGCUUAUGCGUUGUUGGGUAGGGGAGCGUUCUGUAAGCCUGCGAAGGUGUGCUGUGAGGCAUGCUGGAGGUAUCAGAAGUGCGAAUGCUGACAUAAGUAACGAUAAAGCGGGUGAAAAGCCCGCUCGCCGGAAGACCAAGGGUUCCUGUCCAACGUUAAUCGGGGCAGGGUGAGUCGACCCCUAAGGCGAGGCCGAAAGGCGUAGUCGAUGGGAAACAGGUUAAUAUUCCUGUACUUGGUGUUACUGCGAAGGGGGGACGGAGAAGGCUAUGUUGGCCGGGCGACGGUUGUCCCGGUUUAAGCGUGUAGGCUGGUUUUCCAGGCAAAUCCGGAAAAUCAAGGCUGAGGCGUGAUGACGAGGCACUACGGUGCUGAAGCAACAAAUGCCCUGCUUCCAGGAAAAGCCUCUAAGCAUCAGGUAACAUCAAAUCGUACCCCAAACCGACACAGGUGGUCAGGUAGAGAAUACCAAGGCGCUUGAGAGAACUCGGGUGAAGGAACUAGGCAAAAUGGUGCCGUAACUUCGGGAGAAGGCACGCUGAUAUGUAGGUGAAGUCCCUUGCGGAUGGAGCUGAAAUCAGUCGAAGAUACCAGCUGGCUGCAACUGUUUAUUAAAAACACAGCACUGUGCAAACACGAAAGUGGACGUAUACGGUGUGACGCCUGCCCGGUGCCGGAAGGUUAAUUGAUGGGGUCAGCGCAAGCGAAGCUCUUGAUCGAAGCCCCGGUAAACGGCGGCCGUAACUAUAACGGUCCUAAGGUAGCGAAAUUCCUUGUCGGGUAAGUUCCGACCUGCACGAAUGGCGUAAUGAUGGCCAGGCUGUCUCCACCCGAGACUCAGUGAAAUUGAACUCGCUGUGAAGAUGCAGUGUACCCGCGGCAAGACGGAAAGACCCCGUGAACCUUUACUAUAGCUUGACACUGAACAUUGAGCCUUGAUGUGUAGGAUAGGUGGGAGGCUUUGAAGUGUGGACGCCAGUCUGCAUGGAGCCGGCCUUGAAAUACCACCCUUUAAUGUUUGAUGUUCUAACGUGGACCCGUGAUCCGGGUUGCGGACAGUGUCUGGUGGGUAGUUUGACUGGGGCGGUCUCCUCCUAAAGAGUAACGGAGGAGCACGAAGGUUGGCUAAUCCUGGUCGGACAUCAGGAGGUUAGUGCAAUGGCAUAAGCCAGCUUGACUGCGAGCGUGACGGCGCGAGCAGGUGCGAAAGCAGGUCAUAGUGAUCCGGUGGUUCUGAAUGGAAGGGCCAUCGCUCAACGGAUAAAAGGUACUCCGGGGAUAACAGGCUGAUACCGCCCAAGAGUUCAUAUCGACGGCGGUGUUUGGCACCUCGAUGUCGGCUCAUCACAUCCUGGGGCUGAAGUAGGUCCCAAGGGUAUGGCUGUUCGCCAUUUAAAGUGGUACGCGAGCUGGGUUUAGAACGUCGUGAGACAGUUCGGUCCCUAUCUGCCGUGGGCGCUGGAGAACUGAGGGGGGCUGCUCCUAGUACGAGAGGACCGGAGUGGACGCAUCACUGGUGUUCGGGUUGUCAUGCCAAUGGCACUGCCCGGUAGCUAAAUGCGGAAGAGAUAAGUGCUGAAAGCAUCUAAGCACGAAACUUGCCCCGAGAUGAGUUCUCCCUGACCCUUUAAGGGUCCUGAAGGAACGUUGAAGACGACGACGUUGAUAGGCCGGGUGUGUAAGCGCAGCGAUGCGUUGAGCUAACCGGUACUAAUGAACCGUGAG